Molecule: small nuclear RNA, 107 nt
Filed under: Dryobates pubescens (Downy woodpecker)
Lineage: Eukaryota; Metazoa; Chordata; Aves; Piciformes; Picidae
Source: RNAcentral
GUGUUCGCUUCGGCAGCACAUAUACUAAAGUUGGAAUGAUACAGAGAAGAUUAGCAUGACCCCUGCACAAGGAUGACAUGCAAAUUUGUGAAGCCUUCCAUAUCUAU